GGAUAUGACUCAGUUGGUAGAGUGCCUGUCUCACGUGCACAAGGCCCUGGGUUCAAUCCCCAGCAACGCA
This 70-nucleotide transfer RNA is filed under the name Marmota monax (woodchuck). Its description in RNAcentral is "tRNA.Val". The stretch from base 6 to 63 matches the Rfam family "tRNA", at positions 8 to 63 of the family's 71-position model. Rfam says of the family: Transfer RNA (tRNA) molecules are approximately 80 nucleotides in length. Their secondary structure includes four short double-helical elements and three loops (D, anti-codon, and T loops). The record is from RNAcentral. Lineage: Eukaryota; Metazoa; Chordata; Mammalia; Rodentia; Sciuridae.